RNAcentral lists this ribosomal RNA (460 nucleotides) under uncultured bacterium. RNAcentral describes it as "partial 16S ribosomal RNA". It matches the Rfam family "Bacterial small subunit ribosomal RNA", at positions 338 to 795 of the family's 1533-position model. The record is from RNAcentral.
CCUACGGGAGGCAGCAGUGAGGAAUAUUGGUCAAUGGACGCAAGUCUGAACCAGCCAUGCCGCGUGCAGGAAGACGGCUCUAUGAGUUGUAAACUGCUUUUGUACGAGGGUAAACGCAGAUACGUGUAUCUGUCUGAAAGUAUCCUAAGAAUAAGGAUCGGCUAACUCCGGUCCAGCAGCCGCGGGAAUACGGAGGAUUUAAGCGUUGUCCGGAUUUAAUGGGGUUAAAGGGUGCGUAGGCGGUCGGACAAGGUAGACGUGAAAUCCCGAGGCUCAAACUCGGAAUUGCAUAUGAUACUGUUCGGCUAGAGAGUAGGUGCGGUAGGCGGAAUGUAUGGUGUAGCGGUGAAAUGCGUAGAGAUCAUACAGAACACCGAUUGCGAAGGCAGCUUACCAAGCUACAACUGACGUUGAGGCACGAAAGCGUGGGGAGCAAACAGGAUUAGAUACCCGAGUAGUC